Molecule: long non-coding RNA, 1136 nt
Organism: Oncorhynchus gorbuscha (pink salmon)
Lineage: Eukaryota; Metazoa; Chordata; Actinopteri; Salmoniformes; Salmonidae
Exons: 2
Source: RefSeq, a predicted model, not a curated record
GCUCUCUCUCUGUCUCUCCCUGUCUCUGCCAGGCAUUCAGCUCUCUCCCUGUCUCUCCCUGUCUCUGUCAGUCAUUCAUCUCUCUCCCUGUCUCUGUCAGGCAUUCAGCUUUCUCCCUGUCUCUCAAAAUGACCUGCAUGAACAUGGUUCCGUUGUUUAAACCCAGUACAGGACAAGAGAGCUUUGUUAAUUUACACUCAAAAUAUUAUCUUUUGACAAGAAAGACACUCAUAAUCAUGUUUUUUUUAUUAGCUAAAUCAAUUUCUUGCAUCCCAAAUUCUAGUUGUUUUUGUUCCUCAGGUUAAAUGAAAGCUUUUGGUUUUCAAAUGCUUUAGAUUCUACCGCUAAGACAUUUCAAACAGCAAUAAUGAUCUCAUCCACCUGCAGGUUCUGCUUAAAGAACGACUUCUGUCUCACAUCUGAAAUCACAUUUCAUAGUUGGAGUUAAGGUUUUUAAUCUGCUUUUUAACAGGCAUUUUGCUCUGAAUAGCUAUUAUUUCAGUUAUCAUUUUUGUUAUUUUAAUAGUUGCUUGUAAAUGUCCUUGUACAUACUGCAUAUUUUGUAAAGAAAGUAAGAAUGCGGUUUAAUUCUGUUACGAAUAAAAGGAGUUUGUUGUUCUGAGAUGCAUCUCUUAAAUCUAAAAUAUGUACAAAUUUAAUUAGUCUUUCAAAUGAAUUCAAUUAUAACUGCUAUUAGUCAAUACAUCACCUGGUGAGAAAUGUGAUUUUUCUCCAUUUUUGUUUUUGUUUCUAGUGUCAGAGUCAAAACAGAAAUCCCUAUUGAAUAACCCGCUCAGCAUUCCAAAGGGAAAUGAACUGAGUGUUGGUAAGGUUGGAGGGCCGGGAAAGGGAAAUGAACUGAGUGUUGGUAAGGAUGGAGGGCCGGGAAAGGGAAAUGAACUGAGUGUUGGUAAGGAUGGAGGGCCGGGAAAGGGAAAUGAACUGAGUGUUGGUAAGGAUGGAGGGCCGGGAAAGGGAAAUGAACUGAGUGUUGGUAAGGAUGGAGGGCCGGGAAAGGGAAAUGAACUGAGUGUUGGUAAGGAUGGAGGGGCGUGGCAGGAAAGAGAAUACGCCCCCCUCUAACACAAUUCUAUUUGUUUUUAUUUGUGUGAAGUAAUAAAAAUGUGUUGACUCAA